UUGCGUGCAAACGACGAUUUGACGUCUAUGAUUUGAUGAGUACACGGUAUUUCUGUACAGUUUAUUUUUUGUUCACUGGAUGGGUUCUUUUGGAGGGAGAGAGUAGCUUCAACAAGGGCAUUUGCGCGCCUCAAAGAGGGAAAGAGCGAGAGCUGGGUAAAGGGUUGGAGGAGGCGGGCCUUCAGGACCCGUAUAAUACUGUAAAAUGGAUCCGGUUCACCACGAAGCUCGAGUCCACCAUCAGCGCCAUUCCUAUUUCAAUGCCGAACGUGACUUGAAUCAGAUUCACCACGAAGUUCUACAUUCGCAGAUACCCUUGGCGGAGGAGAAGAUUGUUAUAUUGCCCGUAUACUUCGAAUUUCCCCAAAGACCCACCCCAUCGAGUCUCGCUUCGCAGCCGUCUGAAAUUUGUUUGAAAUGGCGUGGCCUGAUACGAAGCGGAGGAAGCUUGGUGGGAAGCUGCGGCAUCGGCGACUUGCGUAUUUGAUUGGGUAUUGUCGUGAUGGGCUUUAGCUAAGCAUUUGUCCACUGUAUGUCAAACAAAAUCCAACCUUUUUUUCUUUUCUUUUUCGUCUUUGGGCUUGAGCUGUUGUAUCAAGAAUGCUAUUUUUUAGCUUAGGUUUCUGGAUGACCCAUUUGUGAAUUACCUCUGAAUAUAUAGUAUUUAGACAA
Long non-coding RNA from Malus domestica (apple), 672 nucleotides. RefSeq lists it as uncharacterized. NCBI's taxonomy places the organism in Eukaryota, Viridiplantae, Streptophyta, Magnoliopsida, Rosales, Rosaceae. The record is from RefSeq and is a predicted model, not a curated record.